Long non-coding RNA from Dreissena polymorpha, 1198 nucleotides. RefSeq lists it as uncharacterized. Lineage: Eukaryota; Metazoa; Mollusca; Bivalvia; Myida; Dreissenidae. The record is from RefSeq and is a predicted model, not a curated record. The transcript has 2 exons.
GAUUUCUUUUUUGCUAAGAGCAAAGUCGACUUAUUUAUUCCCAGCCCAAAUUCUGUUCACAUCCCAGAGGAAGAGGCCACGUUUGUUCUACUGUUGUCACUGUAAAUCCAAUAUAACACGCUCCGUAAUUACGCUGAAACAAAUAUAAUUCGGAUGGCUUGGCUCACAUUUUUUCUCCAACCUAUUUAGGUCUAGAGCCUUUUCUUCAAAUAAAAUAUGGCGGCGUCUGAUGUGCUGAUAACAUAAUGUCUCAAUUAUAAUUGUAUACGCCGUUUAUUAUAACUCUCUUUUUGUUACCUGCAUGUCUUAUUAUGCCUCCCUUCGAAGAAGAGGGGGUAUAUUGCUUUGCUCAUGUCGGUCUGUCGGUCGGUCUGUCGGUCGGUCCGUCCACCAGGUGGUUGUCAGACGAUAACUCAAGAACGCUUGGGCCUAGGAUCAUGAAACUUCAUAGGUACAUUGAUCAUGACUCGCAGAUGACCCCUAUUGAUUUUGAGGUCACUAGGUCAAAGGUCACGGUGACCAGAAAUAGUAAAAUGGUUUUUGAAUGAUAACUCAAGAACGCAUAUGCCUAGGAUCAUGAAACUUCAUGGGUAGAUUGAUCAUGACUUGCAGAUGACCCCUAUUGAUUUUGAGGUCACUAGGUCAAAGGUCAAGGUCACGGUGACCCGAAAUAGUAAAAUGGUUUCCGGAUGAUAACUCAAGAACGCAUACGCCUAGGAUCAUGAAACUUCAUGGGUAGAUUGAUCAUGACUCGCAGAUGACCCCUAUUGAUUUUGAGGUCACAAGGUCAAAGGUCAAGGUCACGGUGACCCGAAAUAGUAAAAUGAUUUUCGGAUGAUAACUCAAGAACGCUUUUGCCUAGGAUCAUGACACUUCAUAGGUACAUUGAUUGUGACCCGCAGAUGACCCCUAUUGAUUUUCAGGUCACUAGGUCAAAGGUCAAGGUCACAGUGACAAAAAUCGUAUUCACACAAUGGCUGCCACUACAACGGACAGCCCAUAUGGGGGGCAUGCAUGUUUUACAAACAGCCCUUGUUUUAUAUUUUGUUGUUAUGAUACACAUAUUAUGCUGAUUAUUUCAAGAGAUAAUCUACAAAGUGUGAGCAUGAGAUUUUAUAUUAUGUUGUUACUGUUAAAUUUCAUCGUGAUUAUAGCAAUGUACUAACUUAAAAAUCAUUAAAAAAUAUUAUAAUUUGAA